RNAcentral lists this ribosomal RNA (451 nucleotides) under uncultured bacterium. RNAcentral describes it as "bacterial SSU rRNA". It matches the Rfam family "Bacterial small subunit ribosomal RNA", at positions 29 to 524 of the family's 1533-position model. The record is from RNAcentral.
AACGAACGCUGGCGGCAGGCCUAACACAUGCAAGUCGAACGCGUGUAGCAAUACACGAGUGGCGCACGGGUGAGUAACACGUGGGAACCAACCCAGAGGUUCGGAAUAACCGCGGGAAACUGCGGCUAAUACCGGAUGUCCCCCAUGGGGGAAAGAUUUAUCGCCUCUGGACGGGCCCGCGUCCGAUUAGCUAGUUGGUGAGGUAAUGGCUCACCAAGGCAACGAUCGGUAGCUGGUCUGAGAGGAUGACCAGCCACACUGGAACUGAGAUACGGUCCAGACUCCUACGGGAGGCAGCAGUGGGGAAUAUUGGGCAAUGGAGGCAACUCUGACCCAGCCAUGCCGCGUGGGUGACGAAGGUCUUCGGAUUGUAAAGCCCUUUCGGCGGGACGAUGAUGACGGUACCCGCAGAAGAAGCCCCGGCUAACUUCGUGCCAGCAGCAGCCGCAGU